Molecule: ribosomal RNA, 397 nt
Filed under: uncultured bacterium
Lineage: Bacteria
Description: bacterial SSU rRNA
Rfam family: Bacterial small subunit ribosomal RNA
Source: RNAcentral
AGCGAACGCUGGCGGUAUGCUUAACACAUGCAAGUCGAGCGCGAAAGUGACUUCGGUCAUAAGUAGAGCGGCGGACGGGUGAGUAACACGUGGAUAAUCUGCCUUUAGGACUGGGAUAACCCUGGGAAACUAGGGCUAAUACCGGAUAAGACCACAGGUUCCAUGGAACCAGGGGUAAAAGGCGGCCUUCGGGCUGUCGCCGAAAGAUGAGUCCGCGUCCCAUCAGGUAGUUGGUGAGGAACGGCUCACCAAGCCGAAGACGGGUAGCCGACCUUAGCGGGUGAUCGGCCACACGGGGACUGAGACACGGCCCCGACUCCUACGGGAGGCAGCAGUGGGGAAUCUUGGGCAAUGGGCGCAAGCCUGACCCAGCAAUACCGCGUGAGGGAUGAAGGCC